CAAUCUCCACCUUGCACCAAUGUUUUAAUAACAAUCAGAGGGAAAGCAUUAACAACAUGUUUGGUUGGCAUGAAUAGCCAUUCCAUUCAGGUUAGAUUCAGUGGCCAACAGUAAUUCAAUAGUUUGGUUCAUUGAAUGGGUUAUUCAGUGGAAUCCAUUCCUUCUCUAUUCAUAAAAUUUACCGAAUCAACAUUCGAUAGAAGAAGUUAAGAAUAGCUAUUCAACAUCAACACAGAAUUGAAAAUUUU
RNAcentral lists this long non-coding RNA (248 nucleotides) under Gossypium barbadense (sea-island cotton). RNAcentral describes it as "long non-coding RNA (GBAR_LNC008890)". Lineage: Eukaryota; Viridiplantae; Streptophyta; Magnoliopsida; Malvales; Malvaceae. The record is from RNAcentral.